RNAcentral lists this ribosomal RNA (1328 nucleotides) under metagenome. RNAcentral's name for it is "bacterial SSU rRNA". It matches the Rfam family "Bacterial small subunit ribosomal RNA", at positions 189 to 1498 of the family's 1533-position model. The record is from RNAcentral.
AAAUAGGUGGAGUCGAAAGGCUUCAUUUGCUCAGAGAGGGGUUAAUGUCCUAUCAGCUAGUUGGUAGGGUAAUGGCCUACCAAGGCAAAGACGGGUAGCCGGCCUGAGAGGGUGGUCGGCCACACUGGGACUGAGACACUGCCCAGACUCCUACGGGAGGCUGCAGUCGAGAAUCUUUCGCAAUGCCCGAAAGGGUGACGAAGCGACGCCGCGUGCGGGAAGAAGGCCUUCGGGUUGUAAACCGCUGUCGGGAGUUAAGAAAUGUAAGGAUGUUAAUAGCAUCUUUGCUUGACUAAGGCUCCGGAGGAAGCCACGGCUAACUCUGUGCCAGCAGCCGCGGUAAUACAGAGGCGGCAAGCGUUGUUCGGAAUUAUUGGGCGUAAAGAGCACGUAGGCGGCUAUUUAAGUCGGUUGUGAAAGCCUUCCGCUCAACGGGAGAACAGCAUCCGAUACUGCAUGGCUUGAGUGCGGGAGGGGAGAGUGGAACUUCUGGUGGAGCGGUGAAAUGCGUAGAUAUCAGAAGGAACGCCGGCGGCGAAAGCGGCUCUCUGGCCCAUAACUGACGCUGAGUGUGCGAAAGCUAGGGGAGCAAACGGGAUUAGAUACCCCGGUAGUCCUAGCCGUAAACGAUGGGCACUAAGUAGAGGGGUUUUGAUUAUCUCUCUGCCGGAGCUAACGCAUUAAGUGCCCCGCCUGGGGAGUACGGCCGCAAGGCUAAAACUCAAAAGAAUUGACGGGGGCUCGCACAAGCGGUGGAGCAUGUGGCUUAAUUCGAUCAACGCGAAGAACCUUACCGGGGUUUGACAUGGUAGAAGUAGAAGCCUGAAAGGGCAACGAACGGUAUCCAGUCCGUAGCUAUCACAGGUGUUGCAUGGCUGUCGUCAGCUCGUGUCGUGAGACGUUGGGUUAAGUCCCCUAACGAGCGAAACCCUUGUCUUUAGUUGCCAACAGGUAAUGCUGGGAACUCUAAAGAGACUGCCGUCGUCAAGACGGAGGAAGGUGGGGAUGACGUCAAGUCAUCAUGGCCCUAAUAUCCCGGGCUGCACACGUGCUACAAUGGUCGGUACAAAGGGAUGCUAAGUCGUAAGGCGGAGCGAAACCCAGAGAGCCGAUCCCAGUUCAGAUUGGAGGCUGAAACCCGCCUCCAUGAAGUAGGAAUCGCUAGUAAUCGCGGAUCAGCUACGCCGCGGUGAAUAUGUUCCCGAGCCUUGUACACACCGCCCGUCAAGCCACCCAAGCAAGAUGCACCCAAAAUCACCGACCUAACCCGUAAGGGAUGGAAGUGCUUAAGGUGUGUUUUGCGAGGAGGACUAAGUCGGAACAAGGUA